AUACUCUUUCUUUGCAAGGAAAUGGAAUAACUGGUAAGAUUCCCGAAGCACUAGGAAAUUUAACCAGCUUGACCAUGUUGGAUCUGGAAAAAAACCGUUUGUCUGGAGAAAUACCAGCUUCCCUGGGCAAUCUAAAAAAGCUUCAAUUUCUUUUUUUGAGUCAAAACAAUCUGUCUGGGACUAUCCCUGACUCACUUUCAGGCCUUCCCAACUUGAUUAACCUUCAGCUUGCAUUAAAU
This 239-nucleotide unclassified non-coding RNA is filed under the name Hevea brasiliensis (rubber tree). The record is from RNAcentral. Lineage: Eukaryota; Viridiplantae; Streptophyta; Magnoliopsida; Malpighiales; Euphorbiaceae.